Molecule: ribosomal RNA, 188 nt
Filed under: uncultured Phoma
Lineage: Eukaryota; Fungi; Ascomycota
Description: partial 18S ribosomal RNA
Rfam family: 5.8S ribosomal RNA (bases 105-188)
Source: RNAcentral
AUGUCUUUUGAGUACCUUCGUUUCCUCGGCGGGUCCGCCCGCCGAUUGGACACAUUUAAACCCUUUGUAGUUGCAAUCAGCGUCUGAAAAACUUUAAUAGUUACAACUUUCAACAACGGAUCUCUUGGUUCUGGCAUCGAUGAAGAACGCAGCGAAAUGCGAUAAGUAGUGUGAAUUGCAGAAUUCAG